CAGUAGCCACGGGAAUACAGAGGGUGCGAGCGUUAAUCGGAUUUACUGGGCGUAAAGCGUGCGUAGGCGGCUUUUUAAGUCGGAUGUGAAAUCCCUGAGCUUAACUUAGGAAUUGCAUUCGAUACUGGGAAGCUAGAGUAUGGGAGAGGAUGGUAGAAUUCCAGGUGUAGCGGUGAAAUGCGUAGAGAUCUGGAGGAAUACCGAUGGCGAAGGCAGCCAUCUGGCCUAAUACUGACGCUGAGGUACGAAAGCAUGGGGAUCAAACAGGAUUAGAUACCCCAGUAGUCCCUGUCUCUUAUAC
This 301-nucleotide ribosomal RNA is filed under the name uncultured bacterium. RNAcentral's name for it is "partial 16S ribosomal RNA". It matches the Rfam family "Bacterial small subunit ribosomal RNA", at positions 509 to 807 of the family's 1533-position model. The record is from RNAcentral.